UACGUAGGGAGCUAGCGUUACUCGGAAUCAUUGGGCGUAAAGCGUGCGAAGGCGGUUUUUCAAGUCAGAAGUGAAAGCCUGAGGCUCAACCUCAGAAUUGCUUUUGAAACUGUUGAACUAGAGUAUCAGAGGGGAUAGCGGAAUUCCUAGUGUAGAAGUGAAAUUCGUAGAUAUUAGGAGGAACACCGGUGGCGAAGGCGGCUAUCUGGCUGAAUACUGACGCUGUUGCACGAAAGCGUGGGGAGCAAACAGG
RNAcentral lists this ribosomal RNA (253 nucleotides) under uncultured bacterium. Its description in RNAcentral is "partial 16S ribosomal RNA". It matches the Rfam family "Bacterial small subunit ribosomal RNA", at positions 524 to 776 of the family's 1533-position model. The record is from RNAcentral.